Molecule: long non-coding RNA, 604 nt
Filed under: Vulpes vulpes (red fox)
Lineage: Eukaryota; Metazoa; Chordata; Mammalia; Carnivora; Canidae
Description: lncRNA (ENSVVUG00000010308.1)
Source: RNAcentral
GAAGAAAGCCUUUGAUAUAUCUUGAUCCAUUGAUAAUUAGUAGAGAAGCAUCAUGUAAAGAUAGAUAACUUUUUAUAGUGUGCUUACUGCGUGCCAGGUGCCCUUGUAGGGACUUUGCAUAAAUUAAAUCCUUUAAUCCUCAAAAUGGUGGUAUGAAGUUAAGCCUUAUCUUUAUCCUUCUUUCAUAAUGAGGACAUCAAGGCAUGGAAGCAUGGAGAUACCCAAAUUACAUAGCAAGUACGUGGUAGUAUUGGAAUGUGAACCCAUGUUGCCUUUAAUCAUAACCACGCUGCCUAUUUUAAUAGGUAAGGUGAAGAGAAUUAUGAGUAAUUCCAGGAGUUCUGAAAAAGUAAGAAGCAUACCAAGACUCAUACCAAAGAAAGAUUGUGACCAGCUGUGUCGGAAUACAUGUGUAGAAAUUGAGGGUUGAAAGAAGAUAGAUUCACCACAUUACCCAGAGUGCUCUUCUUUGAAAACUUCCUCUGGAUAGACAAAGUAAAGUGAAUAUAUAUAAAGAAUUUUUGUUAAAUAUUAAACAUUUGCUAGGCUGUUAAUUAUCCACAUCAAUUCCCACUGUUAAUAAAGUGUACCAGAUAAUUUUACA